GAUGAACGCUGGCGGCGUGCCUAAUACAUGCAAGUCGAGCGAACGGACGAGAAGCUUGCUUCUCUGAUGUUAGCGGCGGACGGGUGAGUAACACGUGGAUAACCUACCUAUACGACUGGGAUAACUUCGGGAAACCGUAGCUAAUACCGGAUAAUAUUUUGAACCGCAUGGUUAAAAAGUGAAAGACGGUCUUGCUGUCACUUAUAGAUGGAUCCGCGCUGCAUUAGCUAGUUGGUAAGGUAACGGCUUACCAAGGCAACGAUGCAUAGCCGACCUGAGAGGGUGAUCGGACACACUGGAACUGAGACACGGUCCAGACUCCUACGGGAGGCAGCAGUAGGGAAUCUUGCGCUAUGGGCGAAAGGCUGACGGAGCAACGCCGCGUGAGUGAUUAAGGUCUUCGGAUCGUAAUACUCUGUUAUUAGGGAAGAACAUAUGUGUAAGUAACUGUGCACAUCUUGACGGUACCUAAUCAGAAAGCCACGGCUAACUACGUG
Molecule: ribosomal RNA, 497 nt
Filed under: uncultured bacterium
Lineage: Bacteria
Description: partial 16S ribosomal RNA
Rfam family: Bacterial small subunit ribosomal RNA
Source: RNAcentral